UGAUAAUGUCUGGGGGCAUUUUUGUUAAUUUUGCAUUUCUCCAAAUAGUAUUGUAGAGUUUUUAAGUACAGUAAAUUAUCUGGUGUGGGAAUUUCUACACACCCCAUUUAGCAAUACCCUAGGUUGAGCAGUAUUUCUACACACCCCAUUUAGCCAUACCCUAGGUUUAUCUGUAUUUAUACACACCCCAUUUAGCCAUACCCUAGGUUUAGCUGUAUUUCUACACACCCCAUUUAGCCAUACCCUAGGUUUAGCUGUAUUUCUACACACCCCAUUUAGCCAUACCCUAGGUUUAGAUGUAUUUAUACACACCCAAACAACUUCAAGUGGCUAUGGGACACAGAAGAAGAGGGAAGAAGAGUGAGAGAGAAGGGGAGGAGAGAGAGGGAGAUGUUAACAGAGA
Molecule: long non-coding RNA, 403 nt
Filed under: Salmo salar (Atlantic salmon)
Lineage: Eukaryota; Metazoa; Chordata; Actinopteri; Salmoniformes; Salmonidae
Description: lncRNA (ENSSSAG00000106962.1)
Source: RNAcentral